This 1128-nucleotide ribosomal RNA is filed under the name Salmonella enterica subsp. enterica serovar Nottingham. Its description in RNAcentral is "partial 23S ribosomal RNA". It matches the Rfam family "Bacterial large subunit ribosomal RNA", at positions 416 to 1547 of the family's 2925-position model. The record is from RNAcentral. Lineage: Bacteria; Pseudomonadati; Pseudomonadota; Gammaproteobacteria; Enterobacterales; Enterobacteriaceae.
GGCGGGACACGUGGUAUCCUGUCUGAAUAUGGGGGGACCAUCCUCCAAGGCUAAAUACUCCUGACUGACCGAUAGUGAACCAGUACCGUGAGGGAAAGGCGAAAAGAACCCCGGCGAGGGGAGUGAAAAAGAACCUGAAACCGUGUACGUACAAGCAGUGGGAGCACCCUUUGGGGUGUGACUGCGUACCUUUUGUAUAAUGGGUCAGCGACUUAUAUUCUGUAGCAAGGUUAACCGAAUAGGGGAGCCGGAGGGAAACCGAGUCUUAAUUGGGCGUUAAGUUGCAGGGUAUAGACCCGAAACCCGGUGAUCUAGCCAUGGGCAGGUUGAAGGUUGGGUAACACUAACUGGAGGACCGAACCGACUAAUGUUGAAAAAUUAGCGGAUGACCUGUGGCUGGGGGUGAAAGGCCAAUCAAACCGGGAGAUAGCUGGUUCUCCCCGAAAGCUAUUUAGGUAGCGCCUCGUGAAUUCAUCUCCGGGGGUAGAGCACUGUUUCGGCUAGGGGGCCAUCCCGGCUUACCAACCCGAUGCAAACUGCGAAUACCGGAGAAUGUUAUCACGGGAGACACACGGCGGGUGCUAACGUCCGUCGUGAAGAGGGAAACAACCCAGACCGCCAGCUAAGGUCCCAAAGUCAUGGUUAAGUGGGAAACGAUGUGGGAAGGCCCAGACAGCCAGGAUGUUGGCUUAGAAGCAGCCAUCAUUUAAAGAAAGCGUAAUAGCUCACUGGUCGAGUCGGCCUGCGCGGAAGAUGUAACGGGGCUAAACCAUGCACCGAAGCUGCGGCAGCGACGCUGAUGCGUUGUUGGGUAGGGGAGCGUUCUGUAAGCCUGUGAAGGUGGCCUGUGAGGGUUGCUGGAGGUAUCAGAAGUGCGAAUGCUGACAUAAGUAACGAUAAAGCGGGUGAAAAGCCCGCUCGCCGGAAGACCAAGGGUUCCUGUCCAACGUUAAUCGGGGCAGGGUGAGUCGACCCCUAAGGCGAGGCCGAAAGGCGUAGUCGAUGGGAAACGGGUUAAUAUUCCCGUACUUGGUGUUACUGCGAAGGGGGGACGGAGAAGGCUAUGUUGGCCGGGCGACGGUUGUCCCGGUUUAAGCGUGUAGGUGUGUGUUCCAGGUAAAUCCGGUU